CCUACGGGCGGCUGCAGUGGGGAAUAUUGGACAAUGGGCGAAAGCCUGAUCCAGCCAUGCCGCGUGUGUGAAGAAGGCCUUCGGGUUGUAAAGCACUUUCAGUGGGGAAGAAAGCCUUGGGGCUAAUACCCUCGAGGAAGGACAUCACCCACAGAAGAAGCACCGGCUAACUCCGUGCCAGCAGCCGCGGUAAUACGGAGGGUGCGAGCGUUAAUCGGAAUUACUGGGCGUAAAGCGCGCGUAGGCGGUCUGAUAAGCCGGUUGUGAAAGCCCCGGGCUCAACCUGGGAACGGCAUCCGGAACUGUCAGGCUAGAGUGCAGGAGAGGAAGGUAGAAUUCCCGGUGUAGCGGUGAAAUGCGUAGAGAUCGGGAGGAAUACCAGUGGCGAAGGCGGCCUUCUGGACUGACACUGACGCUGAGGUGCGAAAGCGUGGGUAGCAAACAGGACUAGAUACCCCGGUAGUC
RNAcentral lists this ribosomal RNA (465 nucleotides) under Vreelandella stevensii. RNAcentral's name for it is "partial 16S ribosomal RNA". It matches the Rfam family "Bacterial small subunit ribosomal RNA", at positions 338 to 795 of the family's 1533-position model. The record is from RNAcentral. Lineage: Bacteria; Pseudomonadati; Pseudomonadota; Gammaproteobacteria; Oceanospirillales; Halomonadaceae.